Molecule: long non-coding RNA, 372 nt
Organism: Capra hircus (goat)
Lineage: Eukaryota; Metazoa; Chordata; Mammalia; Artiodactyla; Bovidae
Exons: 3
Source: RefSeq, a predicted model, not a curated record
CCAUGAAACCCUACUAUACCCAAGCUUACCAGGAGAUUUGGGUAGGAACGGGGUUGAUGGCCUACAUCGUUUAUAAAAUCAGGAGUGCUGAUAAAAGAAGUAAAGCCUUGAAAGUGAGACUCUAGCCGUCUGAGUCCUAGACAGACGCAGGGCUGGCCCGUGAGCUUGGGAGGAGACAUUUCCCUGCCCUCGCUCUUAGUGUCAAGGUGGGUUCCACAGACCCUCCAUGUACAUUGCCGUAGAAAUAGCCCUCUCUCUGCCUCCUGGUAUUGCAAGUCGUCCUUUGUGCCCCCGGCUUGUCAGUGCGGGCUUGCGUGAUGACUGCAGUCCGCUCUUCCCCCCCCAAACUGUCUCUGCAUCGUGCUUCUCUUU